AGCUUUGCGCAGUGGCAGUAUCGUAUCCAAUGAGGUUUAUCCAAGGUUUAUGCUAAUUGAAAACUUUUCCCAAUACCCCACCAUGAUGACUUGAAAUACAGUCAGCAUUGACAAUUUUUUACUGUCUCUACGGAGA
RNAcentral lists this small nuclear RNA (136 nucleotides) under Aotus nancymaae (Ma's night monkey). RNAcentral describes it as "U4 spliceosomal RNA (ENSANAG00000002825.1)". It matches the Rfam family "U4 spliceosomal RNA". Rfam says of the family: U4 small nuclear RNA (U4 snRNA) is a component of the major U2-dependent spliceosome. The structure of U4 snRNA from yeast and human has been reported. U4 snRNA presents a k-turn RNA motif in the 5p-SL related to recognition of Snu13 protein. The record is from Rfam by way of RNAcentral. Lineage: Eukaryota; Metazoa; Chordata; Mammalia; Primates; Aotidae.